Molecule: transfer RNA, 85 nt
Filed under: Methanobacteriota archaeon
Lineage: Archaea; Methanobacteriati; Methanobacteriota
Description: Euryarchaeota archaeon tRNA-Ser
Rfam family: tRNA
About the family: Transfer RNA (tRNA) molecules are approximately 80 nucleotides in length. Their secondary structure includes four short double-helical elements and three loops (D, anti-codon, and T loops). Further hydrogen bonds mediate the characteristic L-shaped molecular structure. tRNAs have two regions of fundamental functional importance: the anti-codon, which is responsible for specific mRNA codon recognition, and the 3' end, to which the tRNAs corresponding amino acid is attached (by aminoacyl-tRNA synthetases). tRNAs cope with the degeneracy of the genetic code in two manners: having more than one tRNA (with a specific anti-codon) for a particular amino acid; and 'wobble' base-pairing, i.e. permitting non-standard base-pairing at the 3rd anti-codon position.
Source: RNAcentral
GGAGGUGUGACAGAGUGGUCGAAUGUACCGGUCUUGAAAACCGGCGUACCGCAAGGUACCGGGGGUUCGAAUCCCUCCGCCUCCG